This 706-nucleotide ribosomal RNA is filed under the name uncultured archaeon. RNAcentral describes it as "bacterial SSU rRNA". It matches the Rfam family "Archaeal small subunit ribosomal RNA", at positions 67 to 758 of the family's 1478-position model. The record is from RNAcentral.
GCACGCUGAUUGGCGGCGAACGGCUCAGUAACACGUAGUCAACCUGCCCUCGAGACGAGAACAAUCUCGGGAAACUGAGGCUAAUGCUCGAUAGAUCAAGAUUCCUGGAAUGGGUUUUGGUCCAAAAGGAGUGACGGCAUCUUGUCACUUUGCCCGAGGAUGGGACUGCGGCCGAUCAGGCUGUUGGUGGGGUAAAGGCCCACCAAACCAGUAACCGGUACGGGCUUUGAGAGAAGGAGCCCGGAGAUGGACACUGAGACAAGGGUCCAGGUCCUACGGGGCGCAGCAGGCGCGAAACCUUCGCAAUGUGCGAAAGCACGACGAGGUUAUUCCGAGUGAUUUCCGCUGAGGAAAUCUUUUCUCAGAUCUAAAACGUCUGGGGAAUAAGGGGAGGGCAAGUCUGGUGUCAGCCGCCGCGGUAAUACCAGCUCCUCGAGUGGUCAGGGCGUUUAUUGGGCCUAAAGCAUCCGUAGCCGGCUCAGUAGGUCUCCUGUUAAAUCCAACGGCUCAACCGUUGGUCUGCAGGAGAUACCGCUGGGCUAGGAGGCGGGAGAGGCGGACGGUACUCCGAGGGUAGGGGUAAAAUCCUUUGAUCCCCGGAAGACCACCAGUGGCGAAGGCGGUCCGCCAGAACGCGCUCGACGGUGAGGGAUGAAAGCUGGGGGAGCGAACCGGAUUAGAUACCCGGGUAGUCCCAGCCGUAAAC